AGGUUUGAUUCUGCUGCAUAAAUAUUAUUAUGCACUUGUUAUUUUAAAUCUGUAUCUGAUACCCAUUUGCCUUAAUUGGCACAUGGGAUGUCACAACUCCAUUUUUGUGGCGAAGAAGGGGAGCCCUACACGCCUCUUUUUCCUUCUUUUACAGCAUGCAGGUGUGAUCUUCUUCUCAUCCUUCUUUGGCUUCCAGAGGCAUGCACACCUUUAGUUGCCAUCUCUUUUUUUUUCCUUUUUAAUUAAAACGGUGUCAUUUUGUCCCUUGCUUUUCUUAAUGCC
Molecule: long non-coding RNA, 282 nt
Filed under: Carica papaya (papaya)
Lineage: Eukaryota; Viridiplantae; Streptophyta; Magnoliopsida; Brassicales; Caricaceae
Description: long non-coding RNA (CPAP_LNC004537)
Source: RNAcentral